AGCAGCCGCGGUAAUUCCAGCUCCAAUAGCGUAUAUUAAAGUUGUUGCAGUUAAAAAGCUCGUAGUUGAAUUUCGGGAUUGACGUGAUGGUCGUGCCUUAAGGGGUAUGAACUGUCGCAGUUGAUUUCUCACCUUCUGGAGAAGCUUGAUGUCCUUAAUUGGGUGUCAUGUGGAACCAGGACCUUUACCUUGAAAAAAUUAGAGUGUUUAAAGCAGGCAUUUUGCUCGAAUACAUUAGCGUGGAAUAAUAGAAUAGGACGGCAUGGUUCUAUUUUGUUGGUUUCUAGGAUCACCGUAAUGAUUAAUAGGGAUAGUUGGGGGCAUUAGUAUUCAAUUGUCAGAGGUGAAAUUCUUGGAUUUAUUGAAGACUAACUACUGCGAAAGCAUUUGCCAAGGAUGUUUUCAUUAAUCAAGAACGAAAGUUAGGGGAUCGAAGACGAUCAGAUACCG
This 450-nucleotide ribosomal RNA is filed under the name uncultured Glomeromycotina. Its description in RNAcentral is "SSU rRNA". It matches the Rfam family "Eukaryotic small subunit ribosomal RNA", at positions 569 to 1017 of the family's 1831-position model. Lineage: Eukaryota; Fungi; Glomeromycota. The record is from RNAcentral.